UUGCCCUGCGAUGCAAUGGCGGCGGCCACU
Molecule: small RNA, 30 nt
Filed under: Bombyx mori (domestic silkworm)
Lineage: Eukaryota; Metazoa; Arthropoda; Insecta; Lepidoptera; Bombycidae
Description: ovarian small RNA-37833
Source: RNAcentral